GAUGAACGCUGGCGGCGUGCCUAAUACAUGCAAGUCGAGCGAACGGACGAGAAGCUUGCUUUUCUGAUGUUAGCGGCGGACGGGUGAGUAACACGUGGAUAACCUACCUAAAAGACUGGGAUAACUUCGGGAAACCGGAGCUAAUACCGGAUAAUAUUUUGAACCGCAUGGUUCAAAAGUGAAAGACGGUCUUGCUGUCACUUAUAGAUGGAUCCGCGCUGCAUUAGCUAGUUGGUAAGGUAACGGCUUACCAAGGCAACGAUGCAUAGCCGACCUGAGAGGGUGAUCGGCCACACUGGAACUGAGACACGGUCCAGACUCCUACGGGAGGCAGCAGUAGGGAAUCUUCCGCAAUGGGCGAAAGCCUGACGGAGCAACGCCGCGUGAGUGAUGAAGGUCUUCGGAUCGUAAAACUCUGUUAUUAGGGAAGAACAUAUGUGUAAGUAACUGUGCACAUCUUGACGGUACCUAAUCAGAAAGCCACGGCUAACUACGUG
This 497-nucleotide ribosomal RNA is filed under the name uncultured bacterium. RNAcentral's name for it is "partial 16S ribosomal RNA". It matches the Rfam family "Bacterial small subunit ribosomal RNA", at positions 28 to 507 of the family's 1533-position model. The record is from RNAcentral.